AAGGAAGUGGAGAUGGCGGGUGGAAAGCGUGGGGAGCGAGAAGCCGUGCGGGAGUGGCGAAGAAACACCGUGGCGAUUCGAAACAUUUUGAAAAGUGGGGACAAGUUAGGUUUUCGUUGUCUUGUGAUUAAAAAGAUGAGUGUGAAAAGUUGAGUGUUACCUUAUAUAGAGACAGAGAGCUAGGUCAACAAGUGGGAUGCUCACUAGGAUUGUGGGCUGAGCCAUGGAGCAAUGAUUGUGGGCUGGACUGUUUCUCAAGGACGCAUCAAACUCGCCAGAUUGUGGGCUGGGCCAUGAAGCAAUGAUUGUGAGCUGGGCUGCUUCUCAAGGACGCAUCAAACUCGCCAGAUUGUGGGUUGGGCAAUGGAGAAUUGAUUGUGGGCUGGGCUGCUUCUCACGGACGCAUCAAACUUGCCAGAUUGUGGGCUGGGCCAUCAAAUGAUGGGCCAUUGGACUUCUUGGUGGAUCGCGGGUCAUAGGAGUAGCUUGGCGGAUCGCGGAUCAUCAUAGGAGCAGAUUGGAGAGCAAAAGAAUCAUAUAGACACAAAGGAAAAUAAAACAAGAACAACUCAAAUUCAAAAAAAAAAACAAAAAAAAAGGUAGAAAGGGAGAGCUGCGGAGGGGAAAUCGGGAAAAGAGUGGGGUGAAAUGGGAAGGGAAGGAAGUUGGGCGCGGUGAAAGGGGUGGAAAGGGAGAGUUGCGGAGGGGAAGUCGAGGAAAGGAUGGGGUGAAAUGGGAAGGGAAGGAAGUUGGGCGCAGUGAAAGAGGUGAAAAGGGAGAGCUGCGGAGGGGAAUUCGAGGAAAGAGUGGGGUGAAAUGGGAAGGAAAGGAAGUUGAACGCGGUGAAAGAGGUAGAAAGGGAGAGCUGCGGAGGAGAAAUCGAGGAAAGGGUGGGGUGAAAUGGGAAGGGAAGGAAAUUGAGCGCGGUGAAAGGGGUGGAAAGGGAGAGUUGCGGAGGGGAAGUCGGGGAAAGGGUGGGGUGAAAUGGGAAGGGAAGGAAGUGGAGCGCGGUGAAAGGGGUGGAAAGGGAGAGCUGCGGAGGGGAAAUCGGGGAAAUGGUGGGGUGAAAUGGGAAGGGAAGGAAGUUGAGCGCGGUGAAAGGGGUGGAAAGGAAGAGUUGCGGAGGGGAAGUCGGAGAAAGGGUGGGGUGAAAUGGGAAAGGAAGGAAGUGGAGCGCGGUGAAAGAGGUGGAAAGGGAGAGCUGCGGAGGGGAAAUCGAGGAAAGGGUGGGAUGAAAUGGGAAGGGAAGAAAGUUGAGCGCGAUGAAAGGAGUAGAAAGGGAGAACUGCGGAGGAGAAAUCGGGGAAAAGGUGGGGUGAAAUGGGAAGGGAAAGAAAUUGAGCGCGGUGAAAGGGGUGGAAAGGGAGAGUUGCGGAGGGGAAGUCGGGGAAAGGUUGGGGUGAAAUCGGAAGGGAAGGAAGUUGAGCGCGGUGAAAGGGGUGGAAAGGGAAAGCUGCGGAGGGGAAGUCCGGGAAAGGGUGGGGUGAAAUUGGAAGGGAAGGAAGUUGAGCGCAGUGAAAGGGGUGGAAAAGGAGAACUGCGGAGGGGAAGUCCGGGAAAGGGUGGGGUGAAACGGGAAGGGAAGGAAGUGGAGCGCGGUGAAAGGGAUGAAAAGGGAGAGCUGCGGAGAGGAAGUCCGGGAAAGGGUGGGGUGAAAUGGGAAGGGAAGGAAGUUGAGCGCAGUGAAAGGGGUGGAAAGGGAGAGUUGCGGAAGGGAAGUCGGAGAAAGGGUGGGGUGAAAUGGGAAGAGAAGGAAGUGGAGCGCGGUGAAAGGGAUGGAAAGAGAGAGCUGCGGAGGGGUAGUCGGAGAAAGGGUGGGGUGAAAUGGGAAGGAAAGGAAGUGGAGUGCGGUGAAAGAGGUGGAAAGGGAGAGCUGCGGAUGGGAAAUCGGGGAAAGGUUGGGGUGAAAUGGGAAGGGAAGGAAGUUGAGCGCGGUGAAAGGGGUGGAAAGGGAGAGUUGCGGAGGGGAAGUCGGAGAAAGGGUGGGGUGAAAUGGGAUGUGAAGGAAGUGGAGAUGGCGGGUGGAAAGCGUGGGGAGCGAGAAGCCGUGCGGGAGUGGCGAAGAAACACCGUGGCGAUUCGAAACAUUUUGAAAAGUGGGGACAAGUUAGGUUUUCGUUGUCUUUUGAUUAAAAAGAUGAGUGUGAAAAGUUGAGUGUUACCUUAUAUAGAGGCAGAGAGCUAGUUCAACAAGUGGGAUGCUCACUAGGAUUGUGGGCUGAGCCAUGGAGCAAUGAAUGUGGUCUGGGCUGCUUCUCAAGGACGCAUCAAACUCGCCAGAUUGUGGGCUGGGCCAUGAAGCAAUGAUUGUGAGCUGGGCUGCUUCUCAAGGACGCAUCAAACUCGCCAGAUUGUGGGUUGGGCAAUGGAGAAUUGAUUGUGGGCUGGGCUGCUUCUCACGGACGCAUCAAACUUGCCAGAUUGUGGGCUGGGCCAUCAAAUGAUGGCCCAUUGGGCUUCUUGGUGGAUCGCGGGUCAUAGGAGUAGGGUCAUAGGAGUUGCUUUGCGGAUCGCGGAUCAUCAUAGGAGCAGAUUGGGGAGCAAAAGAAUCAUAUAGACGCAAAGGAAAAUAAAACAAGAACAACUCAAAUUCAAAAAAAAAAACAAAAAAAGAGGUGGAAAGGGAAAGCUGCGGAGGGGAAAUCGGGGAAAGGGUGGGGUGAAAUCGGAAGAGAAGGAAGUUGGGCGCGGUGAAAGGGGUGGAAAGGGAGAGUUGCGGAGGGGAAGUCGGGGAAAGGGUGGGGUGAAAUGGGAAGGGAAGGAAGUGGAGCGCGGUGAAAGGGGUGGAAAGGGAGAGCUGCGGAGGGAAAAUCGGGGAAAUGACAGGGUGAAAUUGGAAGGGAAGGAAGUUGAGCGCAGUGAAAGGGGUGGAAAGGAAGAGUUGCGGAGGGGAAGUCGGGGAAAAGGUGGGGUGAAAUGAGAAGGGAAGGAAGUGGAGCGCGGUGAAAGGGGUGGAAAAGGAGAGUUGCGGAGGAGAAGUCGGGGAAAUGGUGGGGUGAAAUGGGAAGGAAAGGAAGUGGAGCGCGGUGAAAGGGGUGGAAAGGGAGAGUUGCGGAGGGGAAGUCGGGGAAAAGGUGGGGUGAAAUGGAAAGGGAAGGAAGUGGAGCGCGGUGAAAGGGGUGGAAAGGGAGAGCUGCGGAGGGGAAAUCGGGGAAUGGCGGGGUGAAAUGGGAAGGGAUAGAAGUUGAGCACAGUGAAAGGGGUGGAUAGGAAGAGUUGCGGAGGGGAAGUCGGGGAAAGGGUGGGGUGAAAUGAGAAGGGAAGAAAGUGGAGCGCGGUGAAAGGGGUGGAAAAGGAGAGUUGCAGAGGAGAAGUCAGGGAAAGGGUGGGGUGAAAUGGGAAGGAAAGGAAGUGGAGCGCGGUGAAAGGGGUGGAAAGGGAGAGCUGCGGAGGGGUAGUCGGAGAAAGGGUGGGGUGAAAUGGGAAGGAAAGGAAGUGGAGUGCGGUGAAAGGGGUGGAGAGGGAGAGCUACGGAGGAGAAAUCGGGGAAAUGGUGGGGUGAAAUGGGAAGGGAAGGAAGUUGAGCGCAGUGAAAGGGGUGGAAAGGGAGAGUUGCGGAGGGGAAGUCGGGGAAAGAGUGGGGUGAAAUGGGAAGGGAAGGAAGUGGAGCGCGGUGAAAGGAGUGGAAAGGGAGAGCUGCGGAGGGGAAAUUGGGGAAAUGGUGGGGUGAAAUGGGAAGGGAAGGAAGUUGAGCGCGGUGAAAGGGGUGGAAAGGAAGAGUUGCGGAGGGGAAGUCGGAGAAAGGGUGGGGUGAAAUGAGAAGGCUAGGAAGUGGAGCGCGGUGAAAGGGGUGGAAAAGGAGAGUUGCGGAGGAGAAGUCCGGGAAAGGGUGGGGUUAAAUGGGAAGGGAAGGAAGUGGAGCGCGGUGAAAGGGGUGGAAAGGGAGAGCUGCGGAGGGGAAAUCGGGGAAAGGGUGGGGUGAAAUGGGAAGGGAAGGAAGUGGAGAUGGCGGGUGGAAAGCGUGGGGAGCGAGAAGCCGUGCGGGAGUGGCGAAGAAACACCGUGGCGAUUCGAAACAUUUUGAAAAGUGGGGACAAGUUAGGUUUUCGUUGUCUUGUGAUUAAAAAGAUGAGUGUGAAAAGUUGAGUGUGAAAAGUUGAGUGUUACCUUAUAUAGAGACAGAGAGCUAGGUCAACAAGUGGGAUGCUCACUAGGAUUGUGGGCUGAGCCAUGGAGCAAUGAUUGUGGGCUGGACUGCUUCUCAAGGACGCAUCAAACUCACCAGAUUGUGGGCUGGGCCAUGAAGCAAUGAUUGUGAGCUGGGCUGCUUCUCAAGGAUGCAUCAAACUCGCCAGAUUGUGGGUUGGGCCAUGGAGAAUUGAUUGUGGGCUGGGCUGCUUCUCACGGACG
Molecule: long non-coding RNA, 4350 nt
Filed under: Brassica rapa (field mustard)
Lineage: Eukaryota; Viridiplantae; Streptophyta; Magnoliopsida; Brassicales; Brassicaceae
Description: long non-coding RNA (BRAP_LNC000768)
Source: RNAcentral